This 221-nucleotide long non-coding RNA is filed under the name Fukomys damarensis (Damara mole-rat). RNAcentral's name for it is "lncRNA (ENSFDAG00000021799.1)". The record is from RNAcentral. Lineage: Eukaryota; Metazoa; Chordata; Mammalia; Rodentia; Bathyergidae.
GGUGUUAUUUUUCUUCUAUUUUACUUCUUGUUUAAUUUUUAGUAAUAUUUGUAAGUCCUUAAUAAGUUGGAUAGCAGAAUAAAAAUAAAGAUAAAAAGAUAAGACACCGUGGAAGCUCUGAAAGGAAAAGCACCAUCCUUCUUCACCCUGCUGAGCCCAUGCCGCGCACUCAGUUCCCUCCCUGGUCCAGGACCGUUCUCACACGCACAGCACGCACCGCA